GACGGGUGAGUAACACGUGGGCAACCUGCCCUUGAGACGGGGAUAACUCCGGGAAACCGGAGCUAAUACCGGAUAACACAUAUCUUCGCAUGAGGAUAUGUUAGAAGGUGGCUUUUAGCUACCACUCAAGGAUGGGCCCGCGGCGCAUUAGCUAGUUGGUGAGGUAACGGCUCACCAAGGCGACGAUGCGUAGCCGACCUGAGAGGGUGAUCGGCCACACUGGGACUGAGACACGGCCCAGACUCCUACGGGAGGCAGCAGUAGGGAAUCUUCCGCAAUGGACGAAAGUCUGACGGAGCAACGCCGCGUGAGUGAUGAAGGUUUUCGGAUCGUAAAGCUCUGUUGUUAGGGAAGAACAAGUACCUGUUAAAUAAGCAGGUACCUUGACGGUACCUAACCAGAAAGCCACGGCUAACUACGUGCCAGCAGCCGCGGUAAUACGUAGGUGGCAAGCGUUGUCCGGAAUUAUUGGGCGUAAAGCGCGCGCAGGCGGUUCCUUAAGUCUGAUGUGAAAGCCCACGGCUCAACCGUGGAGGGUCAUUGGAAACUGGGGAACUUGAGUGCAGAAGAGGAGAGCGGAAUUCCACGUGUAGCGGUGAAAUGCGUAGAGAUGUGGAGGAACACCAGUGGCGAAGGCGGCUCUCUGGUCUGUAACUGACGCUCAGGCGCGAAAGCGUGGGGAGCGAACAGGAUUAGAUACCCUGGUAGUCCACGCCGUAAACGAUGAGUGCUAAGUGUUAGAGGGGUUCCGCCCUUUAGUGCUGCAGCAAACGCAUUAA
RNAcentral lists this ribosomal RNA (779 nucleotides) under Priestia endophytica. RNAcentral's name for it is "bacterial SSU rRNA". It matches the Rfam family "Bacterial small subunit ribosomal RNA", at positions 100 to 863 of the family's 1533-position model. The record is from RNAcentral. Lineage: Bacteria; Bacillati; Bacillota; Bacilli; Caryophanales; Bacillaceae.